CUAGACGAGGCGAUAGUUAUAACAGACAAGGCGUCGUCAAAAUCUAAAGCCUAUGAUUAUGUAACUUUCAAGCAUGUUUAUUCUAUGAAUCUUUCUUCCGAAUGGAACCACUAGAUUUCUAGAUGCUGAGGUUUCUUGAGCAUGAAGCAGAGCAAGGAUAGGGGCAUCAACAACUACAACAUUUGUGUGGUAACAGAGAUUGUUAAUUAUGUGGACAGGACUGUAGCGGAGGAUAACAAUCCAGUGGCCGAUAACUUGGUCUUACAGAUGAACCACACGCCCCCACUGCGCUGUAUGUUGUACAUGUUUUGGGCAAUAGAAAAGUGUUACAUAGAACAAUAGAACAACAAAAUUAAAUAAGAAUUGAGUCAGAUGUUGAUUUUUCAA
Lycium ferocissimum is the source of this 387-nucleotide long non-coding RNA. RefSeq lists it as uncharacterized. The transcript is spliced from 2 exons. The record is from RefSeq and is a predicted model, not a curated record. NCBI's taxonomy places the organism in Eukaryota, Viridiplantae, Streptophyta, Magnoliopsida, Solanales, Solanaceae.